RNAcentral lists this ribosomal RNA (225 nucleotides) under uncultured bacterium. Its description in RNAcentral is "partial 16S ribosomal RNA". It matches the Rfam family "Bacterial small subunit ribosomal RNA", at positions 111 to 334 of the family's 1533-position model. The record is from RNAcentral.
UAACGCGUGGGUAACCGUGCCUCAUACAGGGGGAUAACAGUUAGAAAUAGACUGCUAAUACCGCAUGAGCGCACAGUGCUGCAUGGCACAGUGUGAAAAACUCCGGUGGUAUGAGAUGGACCCGCGUCUGAUUAGCUAGUUGGUGGGGUAACGGCCUACCAAGGCGACGAUCAGUAGCCGGCCUGAGAGGGUGAACGGCCACAUUGGGACUGAGACACGGCCCAA